This 253-nucleotide ribosomal RNA is filed under the name uncultured bacterium. RNAcentral describes it as "partial 16S ribosomal RNA". It matches the Rfam family "Bacterial small subunit ribosomal RNA", at positions 524 to 776 of the family's 1533-position model. The record is from RNAcentral.
UACAGAGGGUGCAAGCGUUGUUCGGAAUUAUUGGGCGUGAAGCGCGUGUAGGCGGCUUUGCAAGUCGGGUGUGAAAUCCCUCAGCUCAACUGAGGAAGUGCGCCCGAAACUGCAGAGCUUGAGUACCGGAGAGGAUGGCGGAAUUCCCCAAGUAGAGGUGAAAUUCGUAGAUAUGGGGAGGAACACCGGUGGCGAAGGCGGCCAUCUGGACGGAUACUGACGCUGAGACGCGAAAGCGUGGGGAGCAAACAGG